This 1132-nucleotide long non-coding RNA is filed under the name Heterocephalus glaber (naked mole-rat). Its description in RNAcentral is "lncRNA (ENSHGLG00100041736.1)". The record is from RNAcentral. Lineage: Eukaryota; Metazoa; Chordata; Mammalia; Rodentia; Bathyergidae.
GUAAAAAAAAUGCAAAGUAAACAGUGAUGUAAGACCAUUUAAGGGUCAGGACUAGAAAGAUUAGGAGUCAACAAAGGCUUUCCCAGGCCACUUAAAGCUUGCAUCCUGAACAGAGUCAUGUAGGCUAAGAGGAAAGAUUUAAAAAAGCUCUAAAAAGAGAAGACAGGUUUGUGUAGGGCUGGUGAUUGACAGGUGUGUGACUUGUUUGAGGCUCUGAGAGAAGACCAAGACCAGUGUGACUGGAGUACGGAAAGCUGGAACCUGAGGCUAGGGAUGUGAGCAGGGAUUGCAAUGACAGCCCUGUAAACUCUGUGAACUUUGUUUCACUUUAUUAUCAGAGCAAUAAAAACCCAAAGAUUUAAAAGAGAAGAGUGGCAUGCUCUGAUAUGAACUUUUUUUUUUUUUUUUUUUUACUUACAUGAACAUUUUUUAAAGGUCGAUUUAGCAGUAGUGUGUGUAUGGGUUGAUUUGGAAGAUGGCAAGUGUGGCAACAGAUUUAACUAAGAAGGCCUUGUUCUGGUAAUAAGGAGGAUUUCACAGACCCAAGAGGAAUCACAUCAAGAAGGUUUGGUGACUGAUUAGCUAGGAAAUAUGAAUGAGGAAGUAGUGCUCAUGGUGACUCAGAGUUUUGUCAAUGAACAAAUGGAUAUUUGGUUGCACUUUGCCCAAUAUGAAGAUCCAAGAGAAGGUCCAAGCUUGAAUAUUCCACCAGUAUGGCUUCUCUUUCUGAUCCUGCAUGAAGUGGCCUCUGCUCACCUGUCUUCCUCACCUCUCAACAUUCUGUCCUCCAGCCUCCUCUGCUCAGUCUCCUCAGUUUCUCAACAUGGUGUACUUUCCAGUUUACCUGUGCCCAUCCUCAUGUUGUCCUGUCUGAGAUGUCUCCCUGAACCUGCUGAAGACUUCCUACCUAUCCUUCUACUUUAUCUCAAAUCCUUUUGGGAAGCUUUCUCCUUCUGCCUCCACCAAAUUGGCUACUCAAAUAUAAUUGUGUAUCUCUGCAUCGGAGCAGUUGUAUAGUACAAUGAUUUGCAUACCCAGCUCCUGCAAGAUUGAGCGCACAGGUUGAAUCUUUGUGUUCAAAAUCUACUUAGCCAUAUUCAUUCAUCUGUUUGAUAUGUUUCUCCAUUCUUGG